This 320-nucleotide ribosomal RNA is filed under the name uncultured eukaryote. RNAcentral's name for it is "partial 18S ribosomal RNA". It matches the Rfam family "Eukaryotic small subunit ribosomal RNA", at positions 1470 to 1796 of the family's 1831-position model. The record is from RNAcentral.
CCCUUAGAUGUUCUGGGCCGCACGCGCGCUACACUGAACAGUUCAACAAGUCUUAACCUUGGCCGAUAGGUCUGGGUAAUCUUUGAACGCUGUUCGUGAUUGGGAUAGACCUUUGCAAUUAUGGGUCUUCAACGAGGAAUUCCUAGUAAACGCAAGUCAUCAGCUUGCAUUGAUUACGUCCCUACCCUUUGUACACACCGCCCGUCGCACCUACCGAUUGAAUGGUCCGGUGAAAUCUCGGGACGGCGGCUUGGUCGCUUGCGUCCGACUGCUGAAACUUGAUUAAACCAUAUCAUUUAGAGGAAGGUGAAGUCGUNACA